CACGGAUCCAGACUUUGAUUCUGGCUCAGAUUGAACGCUGGCGGCAUGCUUUACACAUGCAAGUCGAACGGCAGCACGGGGGCAACCCUGGUGGCGAGUGGCGAACGGGUGAGUAAUAUAUCGGAACAUGUCCGGAAGUGGGGGAUAACGUACCGAAAGGUACGCUAAUACCGCAUAUGCCCUGAGGGGGAAAGCGGGGGAUCGUAAGACCUCGCGCUUUCGGAGUGGCCGAUAUCAGAUUAGCUAGUUGGUGAGGUAAAGGCUCACCAAGGCGACGAUCUGUAGCUGGUCUGAGAGGACGACCAGCCACACUGGGACUGAGACACGGCCCAGACUCCUACGGAGCAAGCAGUGGGGAAUUUUGGACAAUGGGGGCAACCUGAUCCAGCCAUGCCGCGUGAGUGAAGAAGGCCUUCGGGUUGUAAAGCUCUUUCAGCCGGAAAGAAAUCGUGCGGGCUAAUACCCUGUAUGGAUGACGGUACGGAAGAAGAAGCACCGGCAAACUACGUGCCAGCAGCCGCGGUAAUACGUAGGGAGGUUAACGUCAAUCUGAAUACUGGGCGUAAAGCGUGCGCAGGCGGUUUCGUAAGACAGAUGUGAAAUCCCCGGGCUUAACCUGGGAACUGCAUUUGUGACAGCGAGACUAGAGUACGGCAGAGGGGGUAGAAUUCCACGUGUAGCAGUGAAAUGCGUAGAUAUGUGGAGGAAUACCGAUGGCGAAGGCAGCCCCCUGGGUCGAUACUGACGCUCAUGCACGAAAGCGUGGGGAGCAAACAGGAUUAGAUACCCUGGUAGUCCACGCCCUAAACGAUGUCAACUAGGUGUUGGGGGAGGAGACUUCCUUAGUACCGCAGCUAACGCGUGAAGUUGACCGCCUGGGGAGAACGGCGGUAAGAUGGAAUUGAUACGAAUAUAUGAGAUGGGCAAGAAUUAUGGUCGAUUAGAAUAAUUAGAUGAACUGCGUAUAACUACCAUAACCAAGCGAUAUAAGUUUUCCCACAGACGAGAAUAGAAGCGCCAGAGAUGGAUACCCGCCCGAAAGGGAAUCUGAACACAGGAGCUGCAUGGCUGCGUCAGCUCGCGUCGGGAGAUGUAGGGUUAAGUCCCGCAACGAGCGCAACCCUUGUCAUUAAUUGCUAUCAUUCAGUUGGGCACUUUAAUGAGACUGCCGGGGACAAACCGGAGGAAGGCGGGGAUGACCAUCCAGUAGGAAGGUGGGGAUUGACGUUCAACGUCCUCAUAGACAUUAUGGGUAGGGCUUCAGCACGUAAGCCAAUGGUCGGUACAGAGGGUUGCCAUCCCGCGAGGGGGAGCCAAUCCCAGAAAGCCGAUCGUAGUCCGGAUUGUAGUCUGCAACUCGACUACAUGAAGUCGGAAUCGCCAGUAAUCGCGGAUCAGCAUGUCGCGGUGAAUACGUUCCCGGGUCUUGUACACACCGCCCGUCACACCAUGGGAGCGGGUUCUACCAGAAGCAGCUAGCCUAACCGCAAGGGGGGCGGUUGCCACGGUAGGGUUCGUGAGUGGGGUGAAGUCGUAACAAGCUAGCCGUAAGCUUCAC
Molecule: ribosomal RNA, 1558 nt
Filed under: uncultured Banisveld landfill bacterium BVC40
Lineage: Bacteria
Description: partial 16S ribosomal RNA
Rfam family: Bacterial small subunit ribosomal RNA
Source: RNAcentral